RNAcentral lists this long non-coding RNA (908 nucleotides) under Capsicum annuum. Its description in RNAcentral is "long non-coding RNA (CANN_LNC015616)". The record is from RNAcentral. Lineage: Eukaryota; Viridiplantae; Streptophyta; Magnoliopsida; Solanales; Solanaceae.
CAUAUACAUAUCCAAACAGAAAUACAGGGAACAAGGCGGUUUUCACACCAUUUCGCCUCCAACAGCCCCAAAUCUAAAUUAGCAGGAACAGGUUCAAACUCAAUUCGUGAAAAACUACCAGCACACCAUAUAUAAUCUUGAAUCGAGUCAAACCACAUAUUCACAGAGUCAAGAAUAGGCGAAAGGAAGAGAUGAAAGGAAAUGUAAGGAUUGGUUCCUACUUUGUUUUGGGAAGCAAACUCGGGCUUUGACGUCAAAGUUUUUCGGCGACUUUGCACUCAACCACGGGAACCCAAAUGUGGACCAAAUCAAAAAGAGAAUAGCAAGCUCAGAUUUUCGAAACCAAAUUUACCUCUGUUUCACUUUAUUUUUGUUUUGUUUUUCAAUCGAUUAUUUUCCUCUCAUGAAUUUUCUUUCGCCUUUUCUCUUCAAUUUUCCACCUUCUUUCUCUCAGAUCUUCCACUUCUUCAUUUCUUUUUUUUUAAGUUUUUGCUUUCUCCGAUUUUCCACCUUCUUUCUCUCAAAUCUUCAACCUUGUCCUUCAAUGGGUGAACGAUACACAUAUAAAUAGCCAAAUCCAGAUUCAAAAAUCUAGAUUCGAAACCCCAAAAUAAAAAAGGGUGUGAAAAAAGAACUUGAAUUUUAAACUUGAAUCAAAACCUUCUCUCCCCAUAGCUCAACUUUUCACAACUAUUAAAUAAUGGAUUGAACCGUUUUAAAUUAUUUUCACUCAUUCAGAAUUGAUUUUUCUUGUUCCUGAGGGAUUUGCAAGCUGGAGGGGAUGAUUUGGGGGGAAUUCUCACAGGAGGGGUGGCAGGCGGCCAGCUAGCAAUGAGUUUAGGGUUUUCUUCAUUUGGAGGGUUAAGAAAAGGAGAAAGAAAGGAGAAGGAGAAAGAUGUUUAUUUUGC